UGUUGCAGUUAAAAAGCUCGUAGUUGGAUUUUCUGCGGGGGCGGGGCGGCCGGUUGCUUAUAGCAACUCGAGCUAGCACUUCCCCUGCAUCCUGCCGCGAACCGUGCUACCAUUAGUUUGGUGGCGCCGGGGAUCGGCUCGUUUACUUUGAGAAAAAUAGAGUGUUCAAAGCAGGCCACACGCCUUGAAUAAGUUAGCAUGGAAUAAUGAUAAAGGACUUCGGUUCUAUUUUGUUGGUGUUCGGGACUGAAGUAAUGAUUGAUAGGGACAGUUGGGGCGGUCCGUAUUCCAAAGCGAGAGGUGAAAUUCUUAGACCUUCGGAAGACGAACAGCUGCGAAAGCGUUCCGCAAGGAUGUUCCCUUUGAUCAAGAACGAAAGUUGGGGGAUCGAAGACGAUCAGAUACCGUCGUAGUCUCAACUAUAAACUAUACCAGCUAGGGAUCGGCCAACGUUUAAUUACACCGACUUGGUCGGCACCUU
RNAcentral lists this ribosomal RNA (481 nucleotides) under uncultured marine eukaryote. RNAcentral describes it as "bacterial SSU rRNA". It matches the Rfam family "Eukaryotic small subunit ribosomal RNA", at positions 611 to 1089 of the family's 1831-position model. The record is from RNAcentral.